UCACCGGGUAAACAUUCAUCCGC
This 23-nucleotide microRNA is filed under the name Magallana gigas (Pacific oyster). RNAcentral's name for it is "Mgi-Mir-36_3p (mature (guide))". RNAcentral also lists the same sequence under 6 other names. Lineage: Eukaryota; Metazoa; Mollusca; Bivalvia; Ostreida; Ostreidae. The record is from RNAcentral.